This 253-nucleotide ribosomal RNA is filed under the name uncultured bacterium. RNAcentral describes it as "partial 16S ribosomal RNA". It matches the Rfam family "Bacterial small subunit ribosomal RNA", at positions 524 to 776 of the family's 1533-position model. The record is from RNAcentral.
UACGAAGGUGGCAAGCGUUGUUCGGAUUUACUGGGCGUACAGGGAGCGUAGGCGGUUGGAUAAGCCCUCCGUGAAAUCUCCAGGCUUAACCUGGAAAGUGCAGAGGGGACUGUUCAGCUAGAGGAUGGGGGAGGAGCGCGGAAUUCCCGGUGUAGCGGUGAAAUGCGUAGAGAUCGGGAGGAAGGCCGGUGGCGAAGGCGGCGCUCUGGAACAUUUCUGACGCUGAGGCUCGAAAGCGUGGGGAGCAAACAGG